This is a long non-coding RNA of Planococcus citri (citrus mealybug), 3489 nucleotides long. RefSeq lists it as uncharacterized. The record is from RefSeq and is a predicted model, not a curated record. Lineage: Eukaryota; Metazoa; Arthropoda; Insecta; Hemiptera; Pseudococcidae. The transcript is spliced from 7 exons.
AGUAUUCAUAAAAUCGUUAUUUUUACUCGAAAUGACAAAAAUUUAACAUCAAUCGAUAGGAAAUUUCAUCGUCUUUAAUUUGAGACCUCAUAGAAGUUCACCCGAACUCGCGAACAUUUCAAAAAAUUGCGUUCAUUACACGAAAAAUUGUAUGCAUACUUACGGCGUUUCCUUUGUUUACGUUCUGGGAAGGAAGAAAAUGGCGGUCCAGCAUACCCCCAUAAUACUAGUGAUAACAUACGGCUCUAUGAUUGGUUGUAAAUUGUAUUAUAUUGUAAUUGGCUACCAGAUUGAUGACGUCUUUAAUCAUUUCACCCAAUAGGAAAAUAGGAAAACAAAAUGUUCAAAUUUCUCAAAAUUUUAAAGUGCUCUUUUGCUGAUCGCCAUCUUGGAUCGGAUAUGAUUUUCGACGAAUUCAAUGGGUGACGCAGGGUAACUAGAGUGAUAUACAUACCGGUAACAGCUAACAGAUAAGAUUCGAUGAUAUUCAACGAAAUUCAGCGAUGGCCGAAUGUUACUGUAAAUUUAAACAAAUGUACGACGAGAUUGGAAUGAAACCAUAUGAUGACUUGCUACGAAGCUGUUCUACAGAUUCGAAUAAUGGUGCAACCAACAAGUAAAACUGUUUUUAUGGCUACCUAUUUCGGUGCGACUGGAAUCGGCUGGAGAAGUUUGCGAACGAAUUCCUAAUGAUAAUUUUGACGUGUGAGUUUUCUGAAUUUGGUUCGAUUAUGGGUGCCCCGAUUCCUUUUCUUAUUUUGAAAUGAAUGCUGCCGACUAAUCAGAAGAUUACGGAAAAUUUUGAUCUGGAAAUUUCGAGUGAAUAUGUUUUGUCAACAAUGGAUUGCGUUGUCCACACGGUCUGGAAAGUCUUCCAGCGUCUUUAUCGAUAUCGUGACACUUUAUUUCGAACCGUUUUACGUAAUCUGGAAAUGUUAUCUACGUCGACGUAUGGAUUGGAAUUUUAGUUUCGUUGACUUUCGACGUUGCGCUAUGCGCCGAAUACUCGAAUUGCGAAUGUUUUUUAUGGUGAUGGCGGCAGUGGAAUGUUCGAUGGAACUACGUUUUUAACUAGAACUAUGUUUUUGGAUUUCUCUUGGUUUGAAACGAUCGGAUGGUAAUCGAGUACAAGAACUUGUUGGACUUUUUCCGGUGACUUUUUUAUUUUAUCGUUCUGUUUUCUUUGUUGAUGUUUUGUUUUAUUCGAUUUUUUAUUUUCCAGGUGCUGUUCAACAUCGGUGGAAUUGUCAACAUCGCGAUGAAAAUUUUUUGAGUCGUCGGUCGUUGACCCUGGAAUUUCCAGAAUCAGCUUUUAAAUUGCUGUCUCGCUGUAUAAAAAUGUAUUUUCAUUUAUUUAUAUAUCUACAUAUGUAUAUGUUUAUUUUUUUUUUCCCGCCAAAAUUUGAAAAUUAUUCACAUUUCACGGCCAAAUUAAUUUCUGAGUUCAGAAAUUUUAAAUUAGGAAAAAAUAUCGUUUUUACUCUCAUUUUGAGCGAUUUUCAAACGAGCCUCGGCCAAACCGAUGAACGAAAUAAGAAUCUUCUUCCCUUCCUCAUUCCUCAUUAACUGUUUCUUAUUACUAGGCUUCUAGCUGCAAAUAACACAAAGAUGAAAUGAAUUAGAUCACAAUCAUACAUCUUUGCAGCUUCGAGUUACAGCUUGAAUGCAAUUUUAAUAUUAUAAAAAUAUCGCUCCUUUCUAUGAGUGUACGAGUAGUAAAAAGAAAAAUACAUAAUAAAACGCGUAUAAUGUAUUAUUACUUUUUCUCACUACGUUUCUGCAAAAUUGGGUCUUCGUAACCAAUCAUAAUUAGGUGGUCAUAGAAAGGAUCAUCUUCAGCUAUUCUUGGUUCAUUUUUACGCAUUUUAUAUGGUUUAUACGAAGUGUAUAAUUUGAACAGGGUGUCCACAAGACUGGAAAAGUCAGGGAAUUUCGUAAUUUUCACGCAAAAUCCCUGGAAUUUUGAAAAAACGAUCAAUUUCAAAUUUUGGAUAAGGACCUGUGAUGAAAGAAAAACGUUAUUUUAUACUUCUCGAAAGACAAAUUUUCAAAAGUUUUUGCCCUCGCUUCGCUCGGGCUUGUUUUCUUUUCUUCUUCAUCUUUUUCAAAAGCAAAAUGAACAUUUUCGCCCUCGCUUGGGCUUGUUCUUUUUUCUUCGUCAAAAUCAACUUCCUUCGAAAAAAACAUCAUUCAAAUUCUAAAAUUUUAAAAGCCAAAAAAACUGCUUGUCCUCACAUGAAAAACCUCGUUUUUAGGCAUCUCGAAACGAAAACUUUCAGAAGCUUUCGCUCGAGCCUGUUCUCUUUUCUUUUUCCAAAGUAACUUCUUUCAAAAAAACAUCAUUCCAAUAUUAAUUCAAGAACCAAAAAUUCUUUGCAUUAAAAAAACCUCGUUUUUAGGCAUCUUGAAAUGAAAAUUUUCAAAAGUUCUAGCUCGAGCAAAAAACAAAUUUCAUAUUUUCAGGCCUCCAAAAAUCCAAAAAACCAAAGAAAAUUUUUAUACCUAAGUCAUAUAAAGUGGCCAAAAUUGCUGCAUGUUUUUUAAUUUAAAAAGUUAAUAAUCGAAGUUUAGCUGUUUUUUAUAUCCGAAGAAGUAUCCAGUUCGAAGAGAAGCUUAUGAAAUAAAAUUACACCCCCCCUCCCCCAAAAACCUCUUUAAUUAAACUGUGGGGCAAGCAUAGAAUAUGAAAAAAAUAUCUGGAAAAAUGGAAAAAUUGGUCUGGAAAACCUGGAAAAGUCAGGGAAAAUCAUUUCCAGAAAUGAGUGGACACCCUGUUGAAUAAAGACACCUUAAGCGUUGGAAUUUGAAGGUAGAUACUUAUUGUAUACCUAUAUUAUUUGUAGGAAUCCACACCAUUCUGAUGGCUUCGGUUUGCUUUCGCAAUUGCCUACGUGAACUGGAAAUUCAGUACUUUGGUCAGUAAAAAUCCACUGAACAUGAAAAUGUAGUACUUAACAAACGGAAAUAUUAUGAAACAUUCCGAGUGGAAUGCCUAUCUUACAUGACUAACGAGACGAAAAGCAAGAUUGUAAAGAUUAUUUAGAUACCUUUUAAAUAUAAUCCUUUGUAACAUGCGACCGAGUUUUACCAGUUGAUCACAGCUGAACAUUGCAUUGAUGAGUUCAUGAUGUACUGAUAGAAGACAUUAUGACUUAUCUAGAGCCAUUUCUACGAAUGAAUUUCAAGUUUAAAAUUUGAAUCAGUACAGACAGCAAAAUACAAAACUCCAGAAACACCAUAGAUUAAUGCGAUUGUAUUGUCAUUUUGUUAGAUAAAGAGGUGUUAGAUGUAGUCAAUUGUACUGAUGCGUGGUUGUGAAUGACUAUUUACUACGCUAUACUAUUUUUAACGAUAAUUAUGUAUGUAGAAUCAGUCUAUAGAGCAAUGUGAUGUGUACCUACCAAAUUCAGGCAGCAACCGGCAACUGUGUUUCAACUUUUACACAGUUUUUAUAUGAUAAAAAUUGAACAAUAAAAUUAUCUUUAUCAA